UAUAUCUUAGUAUAUGAAGUACAUUAAUUUUUGAUAUUAAUAGAGAUAGUUUGAUUCUAUUAGGUAUAU
Molecule: transfer RNA, 69 nt
Filed under: Longitarsus pratensis
Lineage: Eukaryota; Metazoa; Arthropoda; Insecta; Coleoptera; Chrysomelidae
Description: tRNA-Gln
Source: RNAcentral